This 372-nucleotide ribosomal RNA is filed under the name uncultured organism. RNAcentral describes it as "partial 16S ribosomal RNA". It matches the Rfam family "Bacterial small subunit ribosomal RNA", at positions 527 to 896 of the family's 1533-position model. The record is from RNAcentral.
GUAGGUGGCAAGCGUUGUCCGGAAUUAUUGGGCGUAAAGCGCGCGCAGGCGGUUCUUUAAGUCUGAUGUGAAAGCCCACGGCUCAACCGUGGAGGGUCAUUGGAAACUGGAGAACUUGAGUACAGAAGAGGAAAGCGGAAUUCCACGUGUAGCGGUGAAAUGCGUAGAGAUGUGGAGGAACACCAGUGGCGAAGGCGGCUUUCUGGUCUGUAACUGACGCUGAGGCACGAAAGCGUGGGGAGCAAACAGGAUUAGAUACCCUGGUAGUCCACGCCGUAAACGAUGAGUGCUAAGUGUUAGGGGGUUUCCGCCCCCCUUAGUGCUGCAGCUAACGCACUAAGCACUCCGCCUGGGAGUACGGCCGCAAGGCUG